AAAAGUUCACAUGUUCUCAAAGAAGUAAAAGAACAAUUUGUGCUUUAUGCAAUGUCGUAUAAAAUGUUUGGUUUUUUUCCUUUUUUCUUUAACCAUCCAUUCAUAUUUAUGUGUACGUAGUUCACCCCAACGUCUUUUUCCCUACCGCCAAUUCUAAAAGUCCAAGCCAUUAAACUAAAACUCUGUCUAAUAUCAACUUUGUC
This 203-nucleotide long non-coding RNA is filed under the name Gossypium barbadense (sea-island cotton). RNAcentral describes it as "long non-coding RNA (GBAR_LNC021061)". The record is from RNAcentral. Lineage: Eukaryota; Viridiplantae; Streptophyta; Magnoliopsida; Malvales; Malvaceae.